UGGCCAUGGUCAGGUGUUGGCGGGCUUGGCGUUGGCGGCGCUGGCCGAGGGCAGGCCGGUGCUGCGGCCGCCGUUGUUGGC
This 81-nucleotide transfer RNA is filed under the name compost metagenome. Its description in RNAcentral is "tRNA-Ala". The record is from RNAcentral.